This 396-nucleotide ribosomal RNA is filed under the name Triticum aestivum (bread wheat). RNAcentral describes it as "partial small subunit ribosomal RNA". The record is from RNAcentral. Lineage: Eukaryota; Viridiplantae; Streptophyta; Magnoliopsida; Poales; Poaceae.
AUGAGAGAAUUUACUAAAUAUAAUUAUGGGUUCUCAUUUAAACCCGAAUUUCAAAUCGGCGCACUCAAUAAAAAUAAACACAGCCCUAAAAGAAAACAAUCGCCCAUUGGGGAUGUGGGGCCAACCGCUGUUAAUCGGGCCACUUUCCCCUCCCCUUCUUUCCUAUCCCGCCGCCUCUUCGUCCAUGUUCCGGCAUGUCGCCGGCCAUCUUCCCCACCGCACCAACGUCCUCACCCGAAUCCACCCGCCGCCAGGAUCCGCUGUUUGGAGAUGGCCCGCCGCAAGGAGAUAUUAGGCAUCGCGAUGGUACAGAAGCGGCGCGGCCUCAGGUGGGAGGAGGGGGCGCUGCUCUGCCGCUGCUUACCGGCGGCGCUGGUGGCUUCAUUUCGCUGCUAG